This 911-nucleotide ribosomal RNA is filed under the name uncultured fungus. RNAcentral's name for it is "eukaryotic LSU rRNA". The stretch from base 275 to 911 matches the Rfam family "Eukaryotic large subunit ribosomal RNA", at positions 1 to 664 of the family's 3401-position model. Lineage: Eukaryota; Fungi. The record is from RNAcentral.
AUCGAUGAAGAACGCAGCGAAAUGCGAUAAGUAAUGCGAAUUGCAGAAUUCAGUGAAUCAUCGAGUCUUUGAACGCACAUUGCGCCCGCCAGUAUCCUGGCGGGCAUGCCUGUUCGAGCGUCAUUUCCACCCUCAGGCCCUGCCUGGUGUUGGGGGCCUGCGCACUGCAGCCCCCGAAAUACAGCGGCGGUCCCGGCCCCGGCCCCGAGCGUAGUACUUUACGUCGCUUCGGGUGCCGGGCGGGCUCCGGCCGCAAGCCUCUAUUAUACAAGGUUGACCUCGGAUCAGGUAGGAAUACCCGCUGAACUUAAGCAUAUCAAUAAGCGGAGGAAAAGAAACCAACAGGGAUUGCCUCAGUAACGGCGAGUGAAGCGGCAACAGCUCAAAUUUGAAAUCUGGCCCCAGGCCCGAGUUGUAAUUUGCAGAGGAUGCUUCUGGCGCGGUGCCUUCCAAGUCCCCUGGAACGGGGCGCCAUGGAGGGUGAGAGCCCCGUACGGUUGGACACCAAGCCUUUGUGAAGCUCCUUCGACGAGUCGAGUAGUUUGGGAAUGCUGCUCUAAAUGGGAGGUAGACCCCUUCUAAAGCUAAAUACCGGCUGGAGACCGAUAGCGCACAAGUAGAGUGAUCGAAAGAUGAAAAGAACUUUGAAAAGAGGGUUAAACAGCACGUGAAAUUGUUAAAAGGGAAGCGCUUGUGACCAGACUUGUACUGGGGCGAUCAUCCGGCGUUCUCGCCGGUGCACUCGCCCCGGUCCAGGCCAGCGUCGGUUCGGGAGGGGGGACAAGGACGUCGGGGACGUGGCUCCCUCGGGAGUGUUACAGCCCGGCGUGUCAUGCCCCCACCCGGACCGAGGUUCGCGCUCUGCAAGGACGCUGGCGUAAUGGUCACCAGCGGCCCGUCUUGAAACACGG